ACGCUCGACACCUACGGGAGGCAGCAGUGGGGAAUAUUGCACAAUGGGGGAAACCCUGAUGCAGCGACGCCGCGUGGAGGAAGAAGGUCUUCGGAUUGUAAACUCCUGUUGUUGGGGAAAAGAGGAUGGUACCCAACAAGGAAGUGACGGCUAACUACGUGACAGCAGCCGCGGUAAUCUGAGCGGGCUGGCAAGGC
Molecule: ribosomal RNA, 197 nt
Filed under: uncultured bacterium
Lineage: Bacteria
Description: partial 16S ribosomal RNA
Rfam family: Bacterial small subunit ribosomal RNA
Source: RNAcentral